Molecule: ribosomal RNA, 349 nt
Filed under: uncultured bacterium
Lineage: Bacteria
Description: bacterial SSU rRNA
Rfam family: Bacterial small subunit ribosomal RNA
Source: RNAcentral
CACGGGGGCAACCCUGGUGGCGAGUGGCGAACGGGUGAGUAAUGCAUCGGAACGUGCCCAGUAGUGGGGGAUAACUAGUCGAAAGAUUAGCUAAUACCGCAUACGACCUAUGGGUGAAAGCGGGGGACCUUUACCGGCCUCGCGCUAUCGGAGCGGCCGAUGUCUGAUUAGCUAGUUGGCGGGGUAAAAGCCCACCAAGGCGACGAUCAGUAGCUGGUCUGAGAGGACGACCAGCCACACUGGGACUGAGACACGGCCCAGACUCCUACGGGAGGCAGCAGUGGGGAAUUUUGGACAAUGGGCGCAAGCCUGAUCCAGCCAUGCCGCGUGCGGGAAGAAGGCCUUCGGG